AAGAUGGAGAAUCUCCACUUCCAGAAGUUUCAUUUAUAUGAAAUUUACUAGAAUCUAUAUUAGACAUUUAAACAUUUUAAUAUUUUUAUGAAACUUGUUUAGACUUCCCUUUCUCUUGAAAGUGUCUCUGGAAGUUCCAGGAGACCUCAAACCAUACUUUGAGAACCAAUAAUAGUGACCUCUAGAUUUUUUUUUUAUUAUCAUAAACCUUUCAGCAAAAACCCCAGUACUAUCUGCCACCACCCCACUUUAACCCCUUGGAAUAUACAAUCAGGUAAUAUUUAGACAGGUUGCAUCUUUUUAUUUCCUAAGAUUUCCCCAAGUUAUAGGUCUGGACAAGGAGCCAAAUAUCUGCCAUUAGUCAUUUUAAUUAGGACCAGGCAGGGCAUAAGAAAGCUCCUAAGUGAAUCACAGACACACCCACGCCCCCCAAAAAAAAAUCACUCCCAGAGAGAGACCAAUGGAAAAACAACGAGACCGGAAGAGCUAUGAUCCUUAAGAAGCACCACGCCGUUGAUCAUAGUCUGCUUGCAGCCAGUCUGCGAGGAACCGGAGCGGGAGCGCUGAAAGCGAGAGCCCAGCCCAGCAGGACAAGCCCGCCGGUCCAAAUAGGUUUUAGGCAGGGAAUCAGCGCCGCUAAUUGUCAAAGGCCGACGGAGCCAGAGGACUGAACCCCAGCAGCAGUUACUUUUAUGUGUCUUCGAUUUACCCGGUCUGGAUUGCCCCGGUUCUGGGUGUUCGUCUUUGUCUUCAUGCUUUUAAGACGCAAUGAUGCCUCAGCAGAGGAAGAAUCUUUUCUGAGAAGGAACCAGGGAGAGUCUAUCCUGUUCCACAUAGGCAAAGAUUUUGGAAAUAAGACUCUAUCGAUUGAAUGGAAUUUUCUGACUGAGAAUAUACGCCUACUCAAACUCUGGCCAGAUCAAAGCAAGCCAAUGUGGAUCAAUACUCAGCAGAGAUUCAAAAGCAGACUAUUUAUACAUGACUUAAGUUCUCUGAUGAUCACAAAUCUGACCUCUAAAGAUAGUGGAAAUUAUGAAGCUCACAUUAAAUCAGUCUUGGGAAAGGUGAAUAUCCAAAAUUUCAUAUUAACUGUUUCAGGAUCUAACAUGAAAACAUGCAAUCUGUGGCUUCUGCUUGGCAGCCUGGUCCUAGUGGUGAUACACUUGGAAUAAUACAUUUAUGGAAAUUUCAAUAUAACCUGAAGAAAGAGGCAAGAUGAUUUUGCUCCUUCCCUGGAAAGAAGUGAAGAUCAUUGAGCUAGGCACAGAAAAUGGUACAUGGUAUAAUGGUCAAGCAAAUAUUGAAAUAAAAAACCAGGAAUUAGUGUGAUCACAAAAAGCCCAAAGUUCGCAUCCUAGUUCUUCCAAUUUUCCCCUUUCUGGGGCUGGCAAGGUGAAUGACUUGUUUGAGGUUAUAUAAAAAUAAUUCUAAAUAUAGAUAUUACAAAAUCACCAUUAUUAGACUACAAGAAAGAUUCUGAAUAUGGGGCAAACCAGGGGUUAUGAGAAGCUGAUCUAGGAGGGAUGGAGAAUAUUAGAAAAGAUAACUACAGUAUUCUAUAAAAAUAUUUCACAAACUCCAAAAUAACUUCCAAUCAAUUAAGUUACCUUUUUUUUCAUGUAACCAUGGAUAAUAAUUAAUCAUUUUCUUUACUUUAUUUCUUUAUGUACGCAUGCUUGGUAAACUCUAGAAUUUAUCCUUUUAUAUAUAUAUAU
Molecule: long non-coding RNA, 1715 nt
Organism: Sarcophilus harrisii (Tasmanian devil)
Lineage: Eukaryota; Metazoa; Chordata; Mammalia; Dasyuromorphia; Dasyuridae
Exons: 3
Source: RefSeq, a predicted model, not a curated record